Molecule: ribosomal RNA, 305 nt
Filed under: uncultured bacterium
Lineage: Bacteria
Description: bacterial SSU rRNA
Rfam family: Bacterial small subunit ribosomal RNA
Source: RNAcentral
UCGCCUACGGGGGGCAGCAGUGGGGAAUAUUGCACAAUGGGGGAAACCCUGAUGCAGCGACGCCGCGUGAGUGAGGAAGUAUUUCGGUAUGUAAAGCUCUAUCAGCAGGGAAGAAAAAAUGACGGUACCUGACUAAGAAGCACCGGCUAAAUACGUGCCAGCAGCCGCGGUAAUACGUAGGGAGCGAGCGUUAUCCGGAUUUAUUGGGUGUAAAGGGUGCGUAGACGGGAAUUUAAGUUAGUUGUGAAAUCCCUCGGCUCAACUGAGGAACUGCAACUAAAACUGGAUUUCUUGAGUGCUGGAGG